Molecule: long non-coding RNA, 216 nt
Organism: Xenia sp. Carnegie-2017
Lineage: Eukaryota; Metazoa; Cnidaria; Anthozoa; Malacalcyonacea; Xeniidae
Exons: 2
Source: RefSeq, a predicted model, not a curated record
GAGAUGACGUUGUAGCGCGAGAUAAUUUCUUAUAUCCGACGUACGUACGUAGUGGCAUUCAUAUAAGUGGAUUUAUUCGACUGCUUUUAAAUCCGAAAAGGCAACUUAUUGGAAUCGGCUUAGUUAGCAUUUUUGUAAAUAUUUAUAUUAAAACACGCACAGAUGUUUUAAAAGUUGAUUAUAUGGAAAUUAAACUUUAGUUCGUAUCAUUGGAAA